RNAcentral lists this ribosomal RNA (473 nucleotides) under uncultured bacterium. RNAcentral's name for it is "bacterial SSU rRNA". It matches the Rfam family "Bacterial small subunit ribosomal RNA", at positions 29 to 523 of the family's 1533-position model. The record is from RNAcentral.
AUUGAACGCUGGCGGAAUGCUUUACACAUGCAAGUCGAGCGGCAGCGCGGGGCAACCUGGCGGCGAGCGGCGAACGGGUGAGUAAUGCAUCGGAACAUGUCCAUGUCGUGGGGGAUAGCCCGGCGAAAGCCGGAUUAAUACCGCAUACGCCCGAGAGGGGAAAGUGGGGGACCGCAAGGCCUCACGCGAUUGGGUUGGCCGAUGUCCGAUUAGCUAGUUGGCGGGGUAAGAGCCCACCAAGGCGAUGAUCGGUAGCUGGUCUGAGAGGAUGAUCAGCCACACUGGGACUGAGACACGGCCCAGACUCCUACGGGAGGCAGCAGUGGGGAAUUUUGGACAAUGGGGGCAACCCUGAUCCAGCCAUUCCGCGUGAGUGAAGAAGGCCCUAGGGUUGUAAAGCUCUUUUGUGCGGGAAGAUAAUGACGGUACCGCAAGAAUAAGCCCGGCUAACUUCGUGCCAGCCGCCGCAGUAA